Parabacteroides distasonis ATCC 8503 is the source of this 97-nucleotide regulatory RNA element. It matches the Rfam family "TPP riboswitch aptamer (THI element)". From Rfam's summary of the family: Vitamin B(1) in its active form thiamin pyrophosphate (TPP) is an essential coenzyme that is synthesised by coupling of pyrimidine and thiazole moieties in bacteria. The previously detected thiamin-regulatory element, thi box was extended, resulting in a new, highly conserved RNA secondary structure, the THI element, which is widely distributed in eubacteria and also occurs in some archaea. Analysis of operon structures identified a large number of new candidate thiamin-regulated genes, mostly transporters, in various prokaryotic organisms. The record is from Rfam. NCBI's taxonomy places the organism in Bacteria, Pseudomonadati, Bacteroidota, Bacteroidia, Bacteroidales, Tannerellaceae.
CUUUUCACAUAGGGGUGCCCGAGUCAUACGGGCUGAGAUUAUACCCAUCGAACCUGAUCCGGGUAAUGCCGGCGAAGGGAAAAUAAGGUAGAACUAG